UGGGGCCUCGCUCGCUCCCGACCCGGUUGCAAGUGUUGCGGUGGGAGAAAGUCGCGUCCGCAUCGGAGGGGAAGCGCCGUCAUGCCUAAGUAUUAUGAGGACAAGCCGCAGGGCGGCGCGUGCGCGGGCCUGAAGGAGGACCUGGGCGCGUGUCUGCUGCAGUCGGACUGUGUGGUCCAGGUAGCGCGGCCGGGCGCUCCCGGUGGUGACGACCCCUGUCCCAGGCAGGCCUGGCUCGGCGGAGGGCAGCGGGUCGCCCGCGGCGGCGGUUGGAGUUAACCAUCCCGGGCGUAGGUCACAGCUCGGGCUCACUGAACGAAGGAAAAUCACCUCGGCAGUGUUUGAAGGAAGGAUACUGCAACUCUUUGAAGUACGCAUUUUUUGAGUGUAAAAGAUCAGUGUUGGAUAACAGGGCAAGAUUCAGAGGAAGAAAAGGAUAUUGAUGCAUUAUGUUGAAGCCAACAUGGAAAACAACAAAUAUUUUCCCUGGUCAUUAACACAAAGAAGCCAAAACAGGAAACAUACUUUUUACUACAUCUGUUUGGUUGGACCAGAUUUCCCCUCCGUGGAACACUGAAGAAAGUGGAUGAGUUGUUUUCGAAUAUGUAUAAAGUAAAUGAUUCUCUUGAUCCAAGUUAUUUUUAGAAGAAAAACCUAAUUGAACAGGUAUGGGUUGGGAGCAUAAUAAAUGUGUUUUGAGAAUUGUUCUAAAGCACAGAAAAUGGAAAGACUGUUAUUUGCAAACUUGACUCUUCAAUUGAAUUACCCAAUUAGUACAGGCCACUGAUUUGACUGACACAGUCGAUAACAUGCAGCCUAUCCAGAAGGUGUCUGUUGGGAAA
Molecule: long non-coding RNA, 842 nt
Filed under: Homo sapiens (human)
Lineage: Eukaryota; Metazoa; Chordata; Mammalia; Primates; Hominidae
Description: HSALNT0036244
Source: RNAcentral